RNAcentral lists this unclassified non-coding RNA (358 nucleotides) under soil metagenome. Its description in RNAcentral is "partial contains 5.8S ribosomal RNA, internal transcribed spacer 2, and large subunit ribosomal RNA". The stretch from base 1 to 120 matches the Rfam family "5.8S ribosomal RNA", at positions 35 to 154 of the family's 154-position model. The record is from RNAcentral.
GAUGAAGAACGUAGCGAAAUGCGAUAAGUAAUGUGAAUUGCAGAAUUCAGUGAAUCAUCGAAUCUUUGAACGCACAUUGCGCCCGUCAGUAUUCUGGCGGGCAUGCCUGUUCGAGCGUCAUUACGCCCCUCAAGUCCCCUGUGGACUUGGUGUUGGGGAUCGGCGAGGCUGGUUUUCCAGCACAGCCGUCCCUUAAAUUAAUUGGCGGUCUCGCCGUGGCCCUCCUCUGCGCAGUAGUAAAACACUCGCAACAGGAGCNNNNCGCGGUCCACUGCCGUAAAACCCCCCAACUUUUUAUAGUUGACCUCGAAUCAGGUAGGACUACCCGCUGAACUUAAGCAUAUCAAUAAGCGGAGGA